ACAAGCAGCGGAGCGUGUGGUUUAAUUCGAUGAUACACGAAGAACCUUACCAGGCUUGACAUGUUGGUAGUAGGGAUCCGAAAGGUGACCGACCCUUCGGGGAGCCUUCACAGGUGCUGCAUGGCUGUCGUCAGCUCGUGUCGUGAGAUGUCCGGUUAAGUCCGGUAACGAGCGCAACCCUCGCUGUGUGUUAUAUGUGUCACACGGGACUGCCGGUAUCAAGCCGGAGGAAGGUGGGGAUGACGUCAAGUCAGCAUGGCCUUUAUGUCUGGGGCUACACACACGCUACAAUGGCCAGUACAAUAGGUUGCAAGACCGCGAGGUGGAGCCAAUCCUUAAAGCUGGUCUCAGUUCGGAUUGCAGGCUGCAACUCGCCUGCAUGAAGUCGGAGUUGCUAGUAACCGCGCGUCAGCUAUAGUGCGUUGAAUACGUUCUCGGGCCUU
RNAcentral lists this ribosomal RNA (443 nucleotides) under uncultured Anaerolineaceae bacterium. RNAcentral describes it as "bacterial SSU rRNA". It matches the Rfam family "Bacterial small subunit ribosomal RNA", at positions 925 to 1382 of the family's 1533-position model. Lineage: Bacteria; Bacillati; Chloroflexota; Anaerolineae; Anaerolineales; Anaerolineaceae. The record is from RNAcentral.